RNAcentral lists this long non-coding RNA (2291 nucleotides) under Gallus gallus (chicken). RNAcentral describes it as "lncRNA (ENSGALG00010008549.1)". The record is from RNAcentral. Lineage: Eukaryota; Metazoa; Chordata; Aves; Galliformes; Phasianidae.
UGACAUGGAAGUGUGUAUGAAGCAAAGGAGGAAUUGAAUUCCUCCAUGCAGAAAAAAUGGCACCCAUUGGCAUUCAUUGAUGUUUACUUAAUGUUUAUGGAGACCAAACAAUGAAUGUUAGCAUAAAUAGGUUUUGGAUUGACCUCUGUAUAACAACUCCAGUGGCUUGGGGAAACAAAUUACUGUAGCUUUUAAGGAGCAGCAAUUUUGCUGACAAGAAUUUAAAGACUGUCCCGUGUACCUUCUACAAGACUUCCUGUUCCCUGAGGUACAGGCACCGAGUAUGUGUCUGAUCAUCACCAGUAUUACCUUGACAAAUAUAAGUCUAUCCUUUCACAAUAAAAGGCUGAGUGAUAAAUUACAAAGCUGAAAACAAAGCUACCAGUAUCUAUAAUAACAGAUGGGAAAAACAAACAAACAAGCGAACAUUUUUUAAAUUAAUAUCCACAAACUAAACGGGCAAGAGUUUGUACGUACAAACUUUCCUCCAGAUGUGAAACAGAAGCAGCAAACAGAAUCGGUUACAUCAUUUCACAAGCACCUAAAACAACAGAAUGCACUUGUCAUUUGCUUGGUUUUACUUCCACUGCUGCAGAUAUUUAGGAGUCUGAGCUGAUCUUCUAGAGAAGUGCUCCUUGCCAGUGCAGUGCUUCAGACAGAGUGCUGGGCAACUGUCAACUUGGAAGGAUGGGUUUCAUUCAAAUACAACACCUACCUACUUGACACUGCCUUACAAAUGGGAAAUCAUGACUUGAAGUACAGCUUCCUAAAAAUGUCUUCAGGAAGCAACUACCUCUUAUUUUCAAAUUACACCACAAGAAGUAUUUCCCCAUUUCCUACCUUUCCUGAAUCUAAAUAUUUAUUGAAUUGUAUCAAAUUAACUUACGUAUAGUUAAGGAAAUCUUUCUGUGCUGUUUCCCACCUCUUAUUCUACUCAGAUUGUACGUGGAAGACAUAAUACCUUCGGUUUUAAAAUCUCUAAGAAAAGAAUAAAAAAAUGCAGUGGACAGUGUAAUGCAAAAUGGGAUAGUUAUUCUGUUAGUUCAGGCUUGUUUGGAACAUUUGGACAGGCAAACUGUACGUGAUCUAGCAUAGAUUACUGCUGCAAUAGUCUAAUGAGAUGCAGGCCCUACCUAAAGCAGGCAGGCAGGUUAGUGAUAGUGCUUCAUGAUGGCUUCCAAUCAGUGGAAUCAAAUGCACAUCAAAUGUUCUUGUGGUGUAAUUUGAAAAUAAGAGGUAGUUGCUUCCUUGCGUUGGCCUUACCUGAAAAGCAAAAUCAUGAGAAUACAGACCUCCUGGUUGUGGUUUUUGUGGGUCUGGGUGUGGGUACGUGUGUGUGGGGGUGUGUGUGGGUGUCUUUUUAAUGUAUUUAUUUUUCCCUGUGAAUCCUGGUCACAUAUAACACUACUUUAAACAUGUAAGGAACAUACAUCCCUACCCAAUUUCAUGCUUAAACCAGGUUAAACAUCCCAGCUAGGAAAUGUAUUACGUUAUGCAAAAGUCUCUUAGGCUGAUGCAAUAUUUCUAAACCUUACCUUAAGAAACAAUUAUUAUGCAAGCACCUUAUCAACACUGCAGACAUCAGCUUGUCCUGCAGUAUUAUACAGAAACCGAUGACAAUAACAUAAUAAUUAAUGAAACUAGGAAUUAAGUUGUACAAUACUUCUUUCUUUGUAAUCAUAGAAAUUACGAAUUUCAGAGAACUUUGUUACAAUGCCAGUAUAAUAGAUCUCUUUCAACGAUAAUAAAAUAAUAGCAUAUAGCAAUACUUCUGUUUCUAAUACAGCUUAAGACAAGGUACCUAAAAUAUUACAUGGGACUAGUGCAACACUCUCAUCUGCAACAAUCUGCACCUAUCUCAAGCUGCUGUUUGUCUGCUGCCCGUACAAUGAUAUUUGUGACAUUCUGGCAAUUCAAACAGCUCUUCAGUCAUUCAGAAUGUAAGUGGCUUCCUAAACCCUUCUGUCACAUAUUUUCCUAUAUUUAAUAUCAGCUCCUGAAACAAAUUUGAAAAUUUGCUGAAGUUACACAAAACAACUUUGAAGCUGUCUGAUCCUCUCUGCAUCUAGCCAUGUAACCAAGCUCAUUUUCUUGACAUCUGAUAAUGUCCUCGAUUCUUACGUAAAGAACAACAUUGCUUUGAAUAUUUGAUUGCUUAUUCUUUGUCUAAAUGUAUCUUCAUUCUGUUAACCCAUAUUUGUUGAUUUGAUGUGUAAGUGGGAUAACUACUAUAUUGAUCUUUGAAAGGUUUUGUUUGUUUGUUGGAUUUUUUGACCUUCAGUAAUAAAAUU